RNAcentral lists this ribosomal RNA (564 nucleotides) under Streptomyces sp. 424A03. RNAcentral describes it as "bacterial SSU rRNA". It matches the Rfam family "Bacterial small subunit ribosomal RNA", at positions 93 to 671 of the family's 1533-position model. The record is from RNAcentral. Lineage: Bacteria; Bacillati; Actinomycetota; Actinomycetes; Kitasatosporales; Streptomycetaceae.
UAGUGGCGAACGGGUGAGUAACACGUGGGCAAUCUGCCCUUCACUCUGGGACAAGCCCUGGAAACGGGGUCUAAUACCGGAUAUGAGCCUGGGAGGCAUCUCCCGGGUUGUAAAGCUCCGGCGGUGAAGGAUGAGCCCGCGGCCUAUCAGCUUGUUGGUGAGGUAAUGGCUCACCAAGGCGACGACGGGUAGCCGGCCUGAGAGGGCGACCGGCCACACUGGGACUGAGACACGGCCCAGACUCCUACGGGAGGCAGCAGUGGGGAAUAUUGCACAAUGGGCGAAAGCCUGAUGCAGCGACGCCGCGUGAGGGAUGACGGCCUUCGGGUUGUAAACCUCUUUCAGCAGGGAAGAAGCGAAAGUGACGGUACCUGCAGAAGAAGCGCCGGCUAACUACGUGCCAGCAGCCGCGGUAAUACGUAGGGCGCAAGCGUUGUCCGGAAUUAUUGGGCGUAAAGAGCUCGUAGGCGGCUUGUCACGUCGAUUGUGAAAGCCCGAGGCUUAACCUCGGGUCUGCAGUCGAUACGGGCUAGCUAGAGUGUGGUAGGGGAGAUCGGAUUUCCU